This 89-nucleotide microRNA precursor is filed under the name Chlorocebus sabaeus (green monkey). RNAcentral's name for it is "miRNA (ENSCSAG00000026232.1)". The record is from RNAcentral. Lineage: Eukaryota; Metazoa; Chordata; Mammalia; Primates; Cercopithecidae.
UAUUAGGUUGGUGCAAAAAUAAUCGCAGUUUUUGCCAUUGCUCUUAAUAGCAAAAACCGUAAUUACUUUUGCACCAUCCCAAAAUUUAA